Molecule: long non-coding RNA, 199 nt
Organism: Pocillopora damicornis (cauliflower coral)
Lineage: Eukaryota; Metazoa; Cnidaria; Anthozoa; Scleractinia; Pocilloporidae
Source: RefSeq, a predicted model, not a curated record
CAAUGUUGAAUGAAGUGUUUGAGGCCUUUGUGGACAACUCACAUGGUCAGAAAAUAAAGAUUGGUGUCUUUGAUUAAGACUAAGUGUCUGAUGAUGAAUCUCUUGGAUCAUACAUGUUGAGGCUGACAUUGGUACAAUUGUCCAACAAGGCAAUGCUGGAUUGGUAAGUUGCAAAUCUUUUGCUAACUAAAGAGUUGUA